CUGCUGAUAACAACCGUUCAAACACCAUGUUGACUUUCUUCACCCAGGCUGUUGAGGAAUUUGGAUGUCCUCUCAGAAUUUGUGCAGAUCAAGGGGGAGAAAAUGUUGGAGUGGCACGCCUGAUGCUUACUGUACGUGGCCCAGACAGUGGCAGCUUUAUAGCAGGCAAAAGUGCACAACCAGGGAAUAGAGAGGUUGUGGCGUGAUCUUUGGAUGGGGGUAACCAGUGUGGUCUUCUACCACAUCUUGCAUACUCAGAGAAGUGUUCAGAGAAGGAUGGGACAACCAUGCUUUGAGGACUGAGCAAAACCUCACUCCAAACCAACUGUGGGAAGUUGGGCAGCUGCAAAAUCCCAUUGCUAAUCCAGAGGUAUUGAACAUUCCUCACAUAGACUGGGAGGACAGUGGAUAUGUUAACAAUUCAGAUUUUGGAGUAAAUCUACCACAGCUGGAUUGUCCACUUACUCUUCAACAACCAGAGCAACUCAGAGAAUACAUUGAUCCACUGCAACCCUCAGAGUCGAACGGCAUGGACCUUUUCCUGAACACAGUACAGUAUGUGGAAAGUUAGCUUGAGGCCCAUUAGAUAAUUUGCCUUGUGUUUAGGCUUAUGCACACUCUAAAAAACAGGGGUACGAUACAAGUACUUUUUUGUACUCAAAGGUACACUCUUUAUAAUUGUACCCUCAAAGGUACAAUAUUGGUCUUUACAGGGUCAGAUUUGUUCCCUCUGAAGUACAAAGUAAUUUCUAACAGCAAUAAGUACAAAUUUGUACCAUUUAACCAGCCAAAGGGUACAUUUAGUAUUCUGUAUCACUGUACCAAUAAACAAUAUAUAUUUUAAUUGCACAUUUUUUAUUUGAAAGCCAGACAAUUUUCGAUCAUCAAGUUUUUGAGCCAUAUUUACUUGAUGAUAAUUCAAACAUUUUUAUAAUCUUUACUGGCAUAAAAACCAUGGGUACAAAAAAGGACUUUCACUGAAAGGUACUUUUUUGUACCUCAAUAUAAGGUACAGCCCCAGCGACAAGCUUUGUACCCUUUUAAGUACAAAUCUGUACUUCCUUUUUUUAGUGUGCAAAUAUACACCCCAAGCCAAGCUUAUUUCAAUUUCUCUUUUUCCCACCAAUUUGGUAAGCUCAGUGAUUAAUUGCCUUAAAUCAUUAAGGAAACGUCUUAUCCAGAAAAGCACUAUGAUAAUUCUUGUGAUAGUGUAAUAAUAAACUAAGCAACCUUAAGUCAAUUUCUUUACUAAUUUAACUGUGAAUGUUUCAAUUGGCUUUAACAUAAUAAAGAUAUAAGCUAUUUUUAAAGAUGCACUGGCCUGCAUGAAAAACAGGUAAUAGUUGAUUUAGCCUGGGUUGCUAUCAGAGUUGUCCUUCCAAAACUUUCUUCCUCAACAACAAGGACAUGAAGUUAACUCUACAGGCAUCAGGUAGAUGACAACAAAUGAAUGGUUUAUGAGAAUUAACAGAUCUUAACCACAAGAAAAGGAACAGCAAAAAUGCGGUACUCUAAUUAAACACUGAAUUGCACAAUAUUCAAAACUGUUGGUACACACUUAAGAAAAAACGCAUAAAGUGUGGAUCUGUUCACACUAGACCAAAGCCACUCUCCACGGAUUUCAGACAUGCCAGCAUGUCUUUCUUUAGAGCUGAGUAAGUGAAGUAGUGGUUUGGUAGGCACAGCCGCUCAUAACAGGUGGAUGAGCGAGGUAAGUGAUUCAGUCCUGUAGACUGCACUACUUCCAGUUUGAGCCUGUGGCAUGGCAUUUCCCAACCCGUCCAGAACCUCAUAAGCUGCUGUAAAUCUUCUGAGGAUGCUACAGAAAAAAAAAAAAAGUCACAUUAGUGUAUUUGGAAUUUUUCACUUCAGAAUACUUGAAUGUUUUCCCUAAAUACCUUCUUCAACAAAGGUUCGGAAAAACCCUGAAUAAGAGUCAGCGUCUCUGUCCCCGUAUCAUCAUCGCUGUCUUCACUGUUAUGAUUUUGUUUUGCCUGAGGUCACUGAAUUAAAUGUUGUACCAUCUAGGGGAAAGUACAAGAUGUCUACAUAUUCAAUACCAACAACUAGGUUACUAGGACUUACAAACCACUGAAAAACACAGAUAGCCCAGCUGGCUUAUUUUAGUCUUUUAUCUGUUGACUGACCUGAGAGGUUAGUUCAACAUCUGACUCUCUGGGAAACAAAAGGGGCACCACAUCAGGCCUACAGGUAAUGAGAUGCCAAAUGCCAGUCUCCUUCAAUUCCUUCCUUAGCUGCUUAAUUUGUGCCUUAACUUGACCAAGGACCUGUGCAGAAAAAAAACAAUUACUUUGGGUUAUUUGGUUUUGCAUUUCCAAACAUCUCUGUCAGAAGUACACUAAAAUAAUAUAAUGAUAUCUUAAAUGUAUUUUACUGUUGGGUUGUUUGUACCAAAUCAUUUUUAAUGUCAUUCCAUAUUACUGCUUUUAAUUUGAAAAUAAAUGCUCCUCUUGUUUGCAUGUA
Long non-coding RNA from Astyanax mexicanus (Mexican tetra), 2484 nucleotides. RefSeq lists it as uncharacterized. The transcript has 4 exons. The record is from RefSeq and is a predicted model, not a curated record. NCBI's taxonomy places the organism in Eukaryota, Metazoa, Chordata, Actinopteri, Characiformes, Acestrorhamphidae.